Molecule: ribosomal RNA, 405 nt
Filed under: uncultured bacterium
Lineage: Bacteria
Description: partial 16S ribosomal RNA
Rfam family: Bacterial small subunit ribosomal RNA
Source: RNAcentral
AUUGAACGCUGGCGGCAGGCUUAACACAUGCAAGUCGAACGAGUGGCGGACGGGUGAGUAAUGCUUGGGGAUCUGGCUUAUGGAGGGGGAUAACUACUGGAAACUGUAGCUAAUACCGCGUACCAUAGGAUGAGCCCAAAUGGGAUUAGGUAGUUGGUGAGGUAAAGGCUCACCAAGGCGACGAUCUCUAGCUGGUCUGAGAGGAUGAUCAGCAAAACUGGUACGGAGACACGGCCCAGACUCCUACGGGAGGCAGCAGUGGGGAAUAUUGCGCAAUGGGGGCAACCUGAAGCAGCCAUGCCGCGUGUAUGAAGAAGGCCGUAGGGUUGUAAAGUACUUUCGGUAGCGAGGCGUUAACUACAGAAGAAGCACCGGCUAACUCCGUGCCAGCCGCCGCGGUAAUUC